This 2133-nucleotide unclassified non-coding RNA is filed under the name Leishmania donovani. RNAcentral describes it as "gene:LdHU3.16.1580(CDS-product:hypothetical_prote in_conserved)". Lineage: Eukaryota; Euglenozoa; Kinetoplastea; Trypanosomatida; Trypanosomatidae. The record is from RNAcentral.
CAACCUUUCCCUUCCUGACACGACUGGAGGCGGCGCACUCGCAGAGGCGCCUCGACCCACUUCGUCCUUUCUUGGCGAGCAACUCGCAAAGGUGCCCGAACUCCAGCAAGGGAGAGGAUGAGCGAUUCUGUCGCGACACUCCCCGGCGUCCUGGCGCGGGGGCCGGCGCUGCACGCCCUCGUCCAUGUGGAGCUCACCAACGGCACAAUGGUGGUGGGGCGCUUGCUGGAGAUGGAUGCGGCCACCAUGAACAUUAAGGUAGACGCCAUCACACUCACCGCAGUGCGCCGUCGUCGUGGCCGCUCGCGCGAGGACGCCCCGGCGACACGCGCGCUCGUAACGGCUGGCAGCAGCAGCCCCGUUUGCGGGAGCCACGGCUUGGCGGCACGCAAGACUGAGGACACGAUAGAGGUGAACCCCAUCGCACUGCGGUGCAUCCAGAGCAUCGUCGUACGUGGUGCCUGCAUUCGAUACUUGGACUUCAUCCACGAGACCAAAGACGGCGGCACGAGCUACGGUGAGGUGCUGGUGGCCGCGGAGCAGGUGAGGCCCUCCGUGUAGGGAGAAGGGGGGGCAUGCCGCAAAGGAUUCUCAGUGAUGGCUGCUCCUGUGGACGAGGUCCACGUGUGCCUACAUACGAGCACACACGUGUGUGGGUCUGACGGACUCCCUCUCCGCCUACAAGGGAAUAGCAUAGAAGGAAAGGUCAUCUAUCCGAUCGGUGAUGGCGGGUGCCGAAGGGAAACGAGGAGGCAGGGCGGGACAGUGAGAACGAAUGGAGCGUGCUGUCUGUGCCGGCGCACCACACGGACGUCCACGUCGUCUUUUCCGGGAGCUAGCCCCCUCCCCCACCCCACCCCUCAAAUCUCCUCCGCUACUCAUUCCUUCGACUGAUUCGGUCACACGCACACAAGCGCAUGCGUGUCAGCGCUCAAGAUGCGGUGCUGGUGUGCUGGUGCCAUUCGCCAGCCGAGCUGGAGGAAGAGAUGUAAGGACGCUGGUAGAUGCUGUGUUCGCCCAUGUCUCUCUCGACCUCCCAACUGGCCGCGUAAUCACCAACGCAAGAGAAACAGAAAAAGGUUGUUGUGCUCUGCACUCGUCAGCGCAGGCGCCAAGGGUGACCAAGAGGAACAAGCCUCAGCUGUGUGUGCUGAUGGUGGGACCUACCUCACGGAGGGGGAGAGGGGGUGGGUGGGAUGUCCUGGUGAUACGGAACAGAAACAGAAGAACAUGCGAGGGGAGCACGGCACGUGCUGGAGUGAAAGGGAAAGAGCGCAAAGCAAGGCCGUUGGCGCUGCUCCCUUCGCCCAGCACUCCUCCUGCCCCGCCCCACCUCUUCCGUCCAUUACACCAUGCGCGCACGUGGCACCCCCUCGCUCUCUGUGGAACGCGUCACGUUUAUGAAGGGGGGAGCCAGUCCACAGGGCUCUUCGACAGCACCGUUCUCUACAGGCACUCACCCUCUUCACGCAACACACGCAGACACUUUACACGCCCGGUCGGCGCGAUACGACUCGAGUGGAGAGCACAUGCACGUGCGGAAGGAAGAGGUGCGCCCAGUGAGGCCAGCUGAUGUCCAUUGUUGUGCUGCUGGCUUGGUUGCGGCUAUUCUGGUUUCGACGUGAACGCUCAAGGCGGCGCCGCCUACACCCACACCCGCACACCCUUUCCGAUCCUCUCUACGGAGUGUCCAUCCUCGGGGGCACGGUGUACGUGAGCCACGAGAGGGUCGAGGGCUCACGCUGCGGUAGAGCGGAAGAAGGAACGAAAGACAAGUCCAUUCCGUGUGGUGGCCAACGACGCGAGAAGACACCGGUAGAUAGACAGGCACAACAACACUCAUCCAAACAGAGACGAAUUCAUACCUAGGGUGAGCAAGGCACACGCACGUGCAGCCCAUCUUGGCUGUAGCGCCCACCGAGUCACCCUUCGCAUCCAUCCUCUCCUGCUCCCCGCGCCCGGUAGUGGGGAUCACCACCACCACUGCACGGAGCAACAAGAGGAGGAGGGCUAACACCGCCGGCUUCGUUGGGAUGGUGCCCAAGGCGCCGAUUCCCUGCCUGUCCAAAGGUUUUUGGGGGGACCGCCCAGCCCGCCUGUUAUCGGCAAUAUGCCCUUCUAUUCUCUCUUCAC